Molecule: ribosomal RNA, 500 nt
Filed under: uncultured bacterium
Lineage: Bacteria
Description: partial 16S ribosomal RNA
Rfam family: Bacterial small subunit ribosomal RNA
Source: RNAcentral
GACGAACGCUGGCGGCGUGCCUAAUACAUGCAAGUCGAGCGGACUGAUUAAGAGCUUGCUCUUAUGACGUUAGCGGCGGACGGGUGAGUAACACGUGGGCAACCUGCCCUGUAGAUCGGGAUAACACCGAGAAAUCGGUGCUAAUACCGGGUAAUAUCUGAGAUCACAUGAUCUUAGGUUAAAAGAUGGCUCCGGCUAUCACUACAGGAUGGGCUCGCGGCGCAUUAGCUAGUUGGUAAGGUAAUGGCUUACCAAGGCGACGAUGCGUAGCCGACCUGAGAGGGUGAUCGGCCACACUGGGACUGAGACACGGCCCAGACUCCUACGGGAGGCAGCAGUAGGGAAUCUUCCGCAAUGGACGAAAGUCUGACGGAGCAACGCCGCGUGAGUGAUGAAGGGUUUCGGCUCGUAAAGCUCUGUUGUUAGGGAAGAAACAGUACCGAACGAACUAGGUCGGUACCUUGACGGUACCUAACCAGAAAGCCACGGCUAACUACGUG